AACGAACGCUGGCGGCAUGCCUAACACAUGCAAGUCGAACGAGACCUUCGGGUCUAGUGGCGCACGGGUGCGUAACGCGUGGGAACCUGCCCUUAGGUUCGGAAUAACUCCCCGAAAGGGGUGCUAAUACCGGAUAAUGUCUUCGGACCAAAGAUUUAUCGCCUUUGGAUGGGCCCGCGUUGGAUUAGCUAGUUGGUAGGGUAAAAGCCUACCAAGGCGACGAUCCAUAGCUGGUCUGAGAGGAUGAUCAGCCACACUGGGACUGAGACACGGCCCAGACUCCUACGGGAGGCAGCAGUGGGGAAUAUUGGACGAUGGACGAAAGCCUGAUCCAGCAAUGCCGCGUGAGUGAUGAAGGCCUUAGGGUUGUAAAGCUCUUUUACCCGGGAUGAUAAUGACAGUACCGGGAGAAUAAGCUCCGGCUAACUCCGUG
This 433-nucleotide ribosomal RNA is filed under the name uncultured bacterium. RNAcentral describes it as "partial 16S ribosomal RNA". It matches the Rfam family "Bacterial small subunit ribosomal RNA", at positions 29 to 507 of the family's 1533-position model. The record is from RNAcentral.